AUCGCUUCUCGGCCUUUUGGCUAAGAUCAAGUGUAGACUCCAUGAGUUUGGUAUCUUGUCACUUGUACUUUUAUAGAUUUUUCAAGGAUUGAUGCCUGUUCUAGUUAGGUUUUUAUUGCUGUGAUAAACACCAUAACAAAACAACU
Molecule: small nuclear RNA, 146 nt
Organism: Rattus norvegicus (Norway rat)
Lineage: Eukaryota; Metazoa; Chordata; Mammalia; Rodentia; Muridae
Product: U2 spliceosomal RNA
Source: Ensembl